AUUGAACGCUGGCGGCAGGCCUAACACAUGCAAGUCGAACGGUAGCACAGAGAGCUUGCUCUCGGGUGACGAGUGGCGGACGGGUGAGUAACGUCUGGGAAACUGCCCGAUGGAGGGGGAUAACUACUGGAAACGGUAGCUAAUACCGCAUAACGUCGCAAGACCAAAGUGGGGGACCUUCGGGCCUCACACCAUCGGAUGUGCCCAGAUGGGAUUAGCUAGUAGGUGGGGUAAGGGCUCACCUAGGCGACGAUCCCUAGCCGGUCUGAGAGGAUGACCAGCCACACGGGAACUGAGACACGGUCCAGACUCCAACGCGAGGCAGCAGUGGGGAAUAUUGCCCAAUGGGCGCAAGCCUGAUGCAGCCAUGCCGCGUGUAUGAAGAAGGCCUUCGGGUUGUAUAGUACUUGCAGCGGGGAGGAAGGCGGUGAAGUUAAUAGCUUCACCGAUUGACGUUACCCGCAGAAGAAGCACCGGCUAACUCCGUGCCAGCCGCCGCAGUAA
This 504-nucleotide ribosomal RNA is filed under the name uncultured bacterium. Its description in RNAcentral is "partial 16S ribosomal RNA". It matches the Rfam family "Bacterial small subunit ribosomal RNA", at positions 29 to 523 of the family's 1533-position model. The record is from RNAcentral.